Pezoporus occidentalis (night parrot) is the source of this 2383-nucleotide long non-coding RNA. RefSeq lists it as uncharacterized. The record is from RefSeq and is a predicted model, not a curated record. Lineage: Eukaryota; Metazoa; Chordata; Aves; Psittaciformes; Psittacidae. The transcript is spliced from 2 exons.
UUUUCCUCUCCAUUCUACUUGAAGGGUCAGGGUAGAGGGAAGUGAACCAGCUGUGACUUAAUUGCCAGCUGGAAUUAAACCAUGAUGAUCACAGAUGAUAUAAUUUGCCUUAUAGCGACACACUUCUCAGGAAUCUGAACAAGUAAAUGAAUUAAAAUUAAUUGGGUUUUAAUUUUCUUAAUUCAUAACAAGUCUUGAGUUUACAAAAAUGUCUGCCUUGGUUUUUACACAUAGAUGCAUAUACUGACAUUUCCUCCAUAGUUAAGAUACCUUCAUGAAGUGAAUCAUUUUGCAGUACAGGUGCUUUGUAUUUGCUUUUCAGGUGAGCCCUGUGCCCUGCUAAGUGUUUUUCUCAGGGAAGAGAAGUCUGGCUAGGUAAUUAGCCUUUAUAGUCAUUGAGAACUUAUGAGUUUGAAAGAGCCUGUAAGUACUCCAUCAAGUGGAAUCCGCAUCAACUGUGUUUAAAAAACAUUUGAGUUUAAUCAACCCCUCUAUAGCAAGAGGAAAAGAAUGACUUGACAGUGAAGGAAUGGCUUCUUUACCCUGCCUUUCCUGUCAGGGAAAUCUUACCUCCAUCUUUUUGUCAUGUUAACACCAUAGUAUAGGAUCAUAGAAUCAUUUUCAUUGGGUAAUUUUGUUGUUUUCAGAAAUGUUACUUAAAUGGGCAGGCAAAAGGUUGUAGGGAUUGAGCUCAGUGCAGAUGAACUAAAGUAUGUUUAUGACUCCUUGGAGGACAUCAUCUGCUAUUUUAAGUGCAAGUAACAGGAAGUAGAAAGUAAGGUUUUUUUAGAAAUGUAUAAAUAAUUCUACAAAGUUAACACUUCUGUCCUUUACUCAGCCACUACUGUUUCCUUCCUUCCUUCUCUCUGAACUAGCUAUAAUUUGUAUUGCUUGUAGGUAACUAAAACAAGUGCACGUGAGCAAAAUUGAUUUCGUAUCUACUUGUCUGCUAUGUUUUUUCAUGUGGAAGAUCCAGAGAAACAUUUAGUGCCUCCAGGGUAAGUUUGUCGUGGUCCUUUUAGCUUCCCCAUUCAAAAAGAACUGUCAUAAAUGAUCAGUGAUUUUCUGUUGAUAUUUGUCUAAUUUUUAUGCUUUUAAUAAAUUUGUAGGCCUGGGUACCAAAAUACUACCCAAGCUGGGUCCUGUCAGCAGCUAAGCAUUACAGUAAGCUUCUUUGUGAAACCAUUGAGGUAAUUGAGGAGUGUGUCAUUUAAAGAAUACUCAAAGCUGCUUUCAUUGUCAAAAAGGUUUCAUGAAUAAUUUCUUUAUUCUAGAUUAUCCUUUUUCUAUGUUUAAGGCAAACAUUGGAAAGCUGUGGGAGGCUUCCAGGGCUUUUUUCAGCCAAAACAUGGACUUUUUCUUCCAUUGUCAACUAUCAAAGCAAUGAUAGUUGUCACUUUUUCUAUUACAACUUUGGUUUUGGAAAACAGUGGUUGGGAGCUGCAGUGGAGUCAGUCUCAGGAAAUGGCAUUUCAAAUGCUGCAGGAUGAUGUGACUCUGAGUAGCAAAUUUGUUUGUAACUAUUCUUUUCUCCAGUGUGUUAAUUAACUUGCUCCUGAUGAUCUUUCCUUCCCUCAGCAAAUCCUGAUUCUAUUUUUGGACAGGAUAACAUCUGAAGUGUUCUGCUUCAGAAAUGUUAACAUAUGCAGUAUGUGUUGGAUUAUAUAUGCCUUAUGAAACUUGAUGAGAGAAAGUUGAUGUCAGCACUUUGUAGGCUCUUAAUUAAAAAAAAAAAAAAGGAAGGAAAAGAAAAAGCCCAGCCCUGCUCUUACACUAUCUGAACAAGCACAGAGCUAACAAGUACUACAGUUACUUGAAAAGUUCCACAAGUUUCUUGAUACAGAGAAGCCGAAUGUGUCCUCAGUGGGUUAAAGUGGAAAGUUGGUAGCUCUAUUCAUCUAGGGGGGGAAGAAGAAUAAGUUAUUUAAUGAUACGGCUUUAAAAUAGUGAAAAAAAAAAAAAAGAUGUUUUCAAUAAUGCUUUAAGCUUAUUCCAAUAUUUAAUGUUUUGCUUUGGUGUUAUUUUCACAAAGUAUGAUCUGACUCUGUGCUCUGAGUCAAGAAAAAAUGAGCAUCUGCUUAAAAGGGCUGCAUGAAAAAGCUGAUGGCACAUUUUCUACAGAAAUAGUGCUCACUUCUUGCACAAACUGAAAACAGGAACUUGGAAAACAGGCAAGUAGAAACUCAGAGAUUAUAUCAAGGCUUUCCAUUGAGGAAGUGUGGUGAAAUCUAAAGCAAGUGGGUUAACUGUUGCCCUGUAGCUAUCACAUUCUCUUAUGUGACCAGAAUGGCUUUCCUGGGGAUACAGACAGCACCCAAACUACUGUAGACUAUUGUAUGAACAAAACAACCUGGGUGAAGUGAAUAAAAUGGGCUCAGGCAGA